UUCGGUGUACCUUGACAUGAUCUCCAGGACAUGAAAUGUGAGCUAUCUAAGCUGUUCCUUUGUUCCUGGACAUGAUUUAUCCUUCGAUUUGAUCAACAUUAUCUUGUUAUGUCUCUUGUCUAUCAUGUGCAGCGGCAACAGGAUUUGCAGAGUACAAGGGUGGGCUCAUCAAGGUGUGUGGUGGUAGGCUCGCUCGGCCCCAGCAUCUUUUGUUGAACGGACAUGCCGCCUCUUCAGCAUCGGCUACAUGAGAGCCAUGGUGAGCUCUCUUCUCCCUGCCUCCGUUUGCUUGCUCUGAGCUCGUGCUUGUGAGAAACUGCAUGUCACCUCGCUUGAACUCCCUAGCUACACCACACCUUGUUUAAUACACUAGUCAUGCUCUUGCAUACAUGUUUUGUUGGACGAAAAAAUGUACAAUGAUCUGCUCCUUGGGAUAUUAAUUCUUAUGAUAUAUCUUGUAAUUUACAUUAUUGUAAAAGUUAAACCCACUACACGUGUUAGCAGAAAUUGUUUUAGUUUGUCAUACAUAAUUGCCUAUGCUUGUUGGUAGCUAUUAAGUGUAUAAUUCACCAUGGAAGCAUAGUAAUUUCAUGGACAUCAUAAGAUUACAUUUAUGUUCUGAACUUAAAUAUUUAAACUCAGUGUUUAGAUUCUGUAUCUGUAAUCAUAAGCUUCACUUGUAGUCUGGUCGUUCUUAGACAUAUUAUUGUUUGAGUUAAGUUCACCGAACAAUACUUAAAAUUUUAGGAAUCAAUGAUGCCGACCUCCUUGCAGAGUUGUGCCAGGUACCAAAUGAUGACCUACUCGCAUAGUUGUGAUAGUUACCGAUGACCUCCUCAUACUCACCGGUAACAAGUCUGGUUUCACAUUUGCUGGGCACUAUGCUUUUGGUGUAUCAUAUGGCUGGGAGAAAACACACAGUUUCCUGCAUUGUCGGAUAAUGUCAAUUUGUUCUGUAAGAUCUGAGUUUAUUGUACUAUAAAUGGUGAUAAUAUUGUGCCUAGUAUGUCCACGACCUUUUACAUUGUAUGGAUAAUUGGAUAGACUGAACUACCGUAUUCCCCUUUAUACUCCGCAGUCAAACUCAUAUGAUAGAGUAGAUAUUUUCUACCUGUAGAAUCAUGGAGGUAUUAACUACCUGAUGUAGUCAUAGAACAACAUCAUGUUUGAAUAUGCCAAAUGUUUGGGCCUAAUGAUGUUCUGUAUUAUGGCAGCUGCUUUAUUACUUUCUUUCUAGGUUUAUGUGCAGUGUUGGAUUAAUGAUUUAAGUGCAUUAGCGGUUUAUCUUCUUGUUCACAAGUCUGUUUGCAUUGGAUGUACAUAACUGUCAUUUUUACAUCUUGCAUAUUUAACAUACAUGACAAUAGUAGUAGGUAUUGAAAUAUAUGCGAAGGUAGAAGCUAUCGCUGCUGCCUUGUGGGUCGUAAUUCUUUCUCUCCAGACGCGUAUACUGCCUGAUGUAUCGCUCAUGCUCAUAUUCUGUAUUGAGAUAGUCCUAAUAUCCAUCGGGUUGUAGAUUGAUUUCCCCUGAAAAAGCUAUGCUUCUUUCCUUAGAUGAUAAGCAUGUUCGACAGCUAUGUGGAAUCCUUAAGAUAAAUGGUCUUUAGUUUCUUUUGGUGCAUCUGCGUGCACAUAACAGUCCGUUAGUUUCUCUUUAUAUAAUGAAGAAAAUAUGUUGUUAUCAUUUGUUUAUUAUUAUCUAUCAUCUGUAGAUUGAUUUUUAGGCCAUCAGUACUUCUAUGUAUAAUUUGUAGUCUCUUGAAUGAAUAAUUUUUCUUUAGGUGUCAUGUGUCUUGUGUUACUACAUACAUCUGGCGUGAAGUACAUGGUUCCAGAACUAUGGUAACCCGUAGUUUGCUCUACUGGUGAUAGUAGGAUGAUGGAAACAUCACUACUAAAUGUAGUUCAUGUUUCUUCAACUAAUCAUCAUGUACUAGAGUUUCUCUUCUUCUUGCUACUGUUUGGUUUUUGACGUCACUAGCUUGUACUGAAACGUGCAGACUUUACCCCUUGCUAGAUCCUUUGGUGGAGGUGACCCAUGUGAUGGUGAUUCGCUCCAGCAGUUUCGGUCUGACACUGGUGGUGCUACACUACUACUACUCCUAUGAUGGCGACGCAUUGGUAGGCUCGGCUGCCUCCCUUUGUUGUCACUGUGAUGGUGAAGCUCAGCCUAGGCUACAACCACUUACGAUGAGCUCCUCAGGUCCCCUUCUACCCCUCCUACUCGCUCCAUGAUUCUUUGCUUUGCCUUUGUGAGGUGUAAUUGUUUAAUUUUUGUCAUAGUGGAGCAUUGGAUGAUAUAUUGUAUCUGUCAUGAGGUACAUGGUUCAUGGAUAUGCCAACCUGCAGCUUGUUGUACUAGUGAUAGUAGGAUAAUGCAAGUUUUGACAAUCAAUACAUAUUCCUGCAUGUUAGUGUCUCUCCGUGUAAGUACUAAUUCUGGUGAGAAGAAUACAAUUAUUAUUUAACCAGUCCAGAUUUUUAACAUUUGAUGUACUUCCAAGGCACACAGAUCUCUACUCUUCUACAUAAUCCACACUUUGUUCUGGAAGCAAGUCAGUUGUACCAUGCUGUUACAUCACAACAAGGUGUCAUUUGAUGUAGUGCUGCUGUUGAUGCUCCCUAGAGUCUAGAUGUAGAUGUACUGCUGCUGUUGAUGCUCUAGCUGUAGCCUGUACUAUUGUUGUUUUGCUUCUUCAGUGUUAGUUUCGCUACUACUAGCUGUUGGCUGCUACUAGUUAGUACUUAGUAGUUACUGCUAGCAGUGCUAGUAGCUGCUGCUGCUUCUAUUGCUUGUGCAAUUGUGCUAGUAGCCAGUAGAUGUUCAUUGCAUGACCUGCACUCGUAGCUAGUAGAUGUGCUGGUACCUGUACGCUAGUAUUGUUGGUGUGUUCAAUGUCUUAGUAGAACAUCAUCAGGUUGAUGUGUUGUAGUCAAGUUUUGGAUGUUUUGCCAUGCCAUGCUUAGUGUUUACUAAACUGAGGUAUUUGAGCAUUUAUGUGUAAUUUCUAUUCUCUUGAAUGGAUAUUUUUUUAUUGGCAAUCAUUUAAAUUCCACUGUAUCUCACUUAUAAUUUAUGCAGAUCAGGAUCUAAUAUUAUUGAGGUUGUUGUUGUUGUGAGCAUGAUCAGAAGAAGCCUGGAGAUGUGCACAAUAGUUUUAGUUGAUGUUGCCACCAUGUUUUGGUGCAUGUGUAUUUAUUUUUGAUUGUAUGCAAACUUGAUGGAUCAUGCAGACGUGUAUGUGCUGUUGUGAGUUUCAUUGAUUCUGGAUUUGAUCAUUUAAUUGAGAGAACUAUUGAUUGUUUGCUGUUGAAAUGUGUAACAGAAAUCUGUGAAUGAAAAGGUUGAAUGUUCUAUUGGAUUGAAUAAUAUUUGGGC
This 3379-nucleotide long non-coding RNA is filed under the name Triticum aestivum (bread wheat). RNAcentral's name for it is "long non-coding RNA (TAES_LNC003113)". The record is from RNAcentral. Lineage: Eukaryota; Viridiplantae; Streptophyta; Magnoliopsida; Poales; Poaceae.